GGAAUAGUUAACCCCUAUGAUAGACUAUAUAAAUUGACUUUCUCUCAUUUCAUCCGCCGCCACCAACACCAAACCCUAACUCUUCCUUCACCGACGAACACAAAACGGCGACAACACGAUCGCAUCACACUCCCACAUGCCGCCGACGAAAUCUGCGACGCGGUGGAUGAAGCGGUGACACGGUGAAUAAGGCGGCGGGGUGGGGGACAUUGAUUUCGUCAAACCUUACAGAAAAUCGGAAGAAACUGCCUCGCUAACCUGAAUCGGGCGAGAAAGAAACAAAUCCAUGGUUCGCGACAUCCACAGUCUCGAAAACGGAAAAAGCUCAAACCUUAGUUCACAACUGAUACAAAAACGGAUAAAUGUAAAGGGUUUCAGCUUGACCUUGUUCUAAAAGAAAAAAAUUGGGAGCAACAUUACAAAGGCUAGACAAAGAAGAUAUACAAAAAAUGGUUUAUUCAUAAUUAGAGAUAUUGGGGUGAAGAUUAUCAACCAAGGUGAUAAAAGGGAUUCAGGAACACAAAUUGCAAAUCAAGUAGCAAGAAAGGAACUCAGAUUCUUUCAAAUUCAAAACAGAAUGUUACAGAAGGUAUCAAGGUACAAAAUUUGAAAAAUCAAGUAGCAAGACAAGACUUCACUGCAAUACGAACUGUCAAAGAAGAAAAGGAGAAAAGCAACCAAGGAAGAUGAAAGAGCAGAAUCUACAAAAUGAUUACAGAUGAACAUAAGUUACAUAGCACGCAUGGGAGCUUGAAGCCUACACUAUGAUUAUAACAUAAAGGAGUAGGAUUAAAGAGAGAGAAGAAGAUAAAAAAGGGACAAAUUGCAAUGGGAAGUAAAUCUUGGAUGACAAACAAUAUUUUCUCACAACUGCAUCAAGACAAAAGUCAUGGGAAACUAACAGGGAAUCCAUCACAGCUUUGGAAGAAGAAAAAAUAGAUAUAUUGUAAUAAAAUAGUGGUAUUUUAUAUCAAGCCAAUGGAAGGCUAACAGAAAUAUGUAGGUUGCAACCCUACAUGGAAUGAUCGGUCCAUACAUAAUUAAUCACACAUAAGAUUCACAUUAAACAAAGUGACUUUUACAAUAAGAUAAUAAAAAAUAAGCUAAGAUGGUUGCAAUAUUUCAUGAUGUUUCCCACCUAAAUGUGGGCCCAGUGGCACUUCUGUAAAUUUUCCAAACAAGUCUCCCUUUAUAUUAGCAUAGAUAUGAAUAUUUGAAAUAACACGAGUUUUAAGGAAUAAUUGGUAAAAUAAAAGAGAGAUAAAAAGAUAAAGAAAUUAUUGCAUUUAGUGAAAAAUGGAUCUUAUUAGAGAGAAAGAAGUUAGCAAAAAUAUAAUGAACUAUUUUUAUCUAAAAUGAAAAUUACAAUCUGCUCAUAUAUUUUUAUGGGAUGAAGAAUAUAUAAUUGUAUUAUAAAUAAAAAUAUCAACCCAAAAGAAAGUAAUAAAUGCAAUGCAAAUAGAAAGAUAGCAUUAAAUGAAUGUAUAGGAAAGAGAAAUAUUUUUUACAUAAAUUCAAAAUACUCACAUUUAGUGAUUGAGGUCAAUUUGAUUCUAAAAAGUUCAGAAAAAUUCAAAAUAUUGCGAAUGGAUUUUAAACAUGCAAAUUGCAAAAUUUAUAGAUUUUUCAUAAUAAUUUUUUCAGAAAUAAUCAAAUGUAGUCUUAACUUAUUCUCCAUUUGUCAUACCAUCUACACAAAAUAGAAUCAAAUAUAGUUGGAUGGUUGAUUAAUUAAUUGUAUUCGUUUCAUUUAAUAUCUUAUAAAUCGUGACAAAGUUAUGGUUGGAGCAAUUCAAAGAAGAAUCCUCAUCUCUCCUCUUGUCAUAGACAUUAAAAAUACCAAUUACGGAAACUUUUGAAGAAAGGAUUUUACCAAGAACACAAUGAGGAAUGUAUCUAAGCUCACAAUUAUCAUGUUUUUUGCCUUUCUUUUUGAUAUUCAAAGUUCACUGAUGGUACAUGCUCGACUUGUUAAUCCUCCAAUGCCUUCAGUUGGUGAAGAAGCUGCAAGGGCCCCUUCAAAUUAUGACACAAAAAUGGAAAAUUUGAAGUUUAUUAGACCUCCUCCAAUAUACCGGUGCGUGAGCAUCUUGGGCGUAUGCAAUGUAAUGCUAAGUGAAGCUCGAUGUGUCCAACUCUGCAACAAUUAUUAUUAUGAUAUGCAUCCAUCUUCUCGCUGUUACCUAUUUCCCGGAGCUACAGAUGUUUAUUGUGACUGUGAGCAUGAUUGUAAAUAGAGAUCCUAGUCCAAUUUCCAAAUAUUCGCGUAACAUUGUGAGUUUGUGACAUUAUUUGGUCCUUUGUCAGC
Long non-coding RNA from Salvia splendens (bonfire salvia), 2308 nucleotides. RefSeq lists it as uncharacterized. The record is from RefSeq and is a predicted model, not a curated record. Lineage: Eukaryota; Viridiplantae; Streptophyta; Magnoliopsida; Lamiales; Lamiaceae. The transcript is spliced from 11 exons.